RNAcentral lists this ribosomal RNA (406 nucleotides) under uncultured Candidatus Brocadia sp. RNAcentral's name for it is "bacterial SSU rRNA". It matches the Rfam family "Bacterial small subunit ribosomal RNA", at positions 432 to 828 of the family's 1533-position model. The record is from RNAcentral. Lineage: Bacteria; Pseudomonadati; Planctomycetota; Candidatus Brocadiia; Candidatus Brocadiales; Candidatus Brocadiaceae.
ACUGUCGGGAGUUAAGAACUGUAAGGAUGCUAAUAGUAUUCUUACUUGACUAAGGCUCCGGAGGAAGCCACGGCUAACUCUGUGCCAGCAGCCGCGGUAAUACAGAGGCGGCAAGCGUUGUUCGGAAUUAUUGGGCGUAAAGAGCAUGUAGGCGGCUAUGUAAGUCGGUUGUGAAAGCCUUCCGCUUAACGGAAGAAUGGCGGCCGAAACUGCAUGGCUUGAGUGCGGUAGGGGAGAGUGGAACUUCUGGUGGAGCGGUGAAAUGCGUAGAUAUCAGAAGGAACGCCGGCGGCGAAAGCGACUCUCUGGACCGUAACUGACGCUGAGUGUGCGAAAGCUAGGGGAGCAAACGGGAUUAGAUACCCCGGUAGUCCUAGCCGUAAACGAUGGGCACUAAGUAGAGGGA